Molecule: unclassified non-coding RNA, 5223 nt
Filed under: Gigantopelta aegis
Lineage: Eukaryota; Metazoa; Mollusca; Gastropoda; Neomphalida; Peltospiridae
Description: uncharacterized LOC121367778, transcript variant X1
Source: RNAcentral
UUUUGGCUCUGGGUUUUUUUAUGUGAUACUAUUGUUGAUAAUUGACAGAUUCGUUUCUGUCUUUGUUGUAAUUGUUUCUAGUUGUAUUAUUUUGGCGUAAACACUUUUUUCAAGUGUGUUUUUACUUCCAAAAUUGUUGUUACCGGUAAACGUUGCGUGGUCGCCAUUUGCAAAGAUGGCGGCCAUGUUACCGGUUAUGUCUAAUGGUUUAUUAUUAUUUCUCUUUGUAGAAAUUCUAUCAUGUCAGAUGCUAGUACAUGCCGACAACGUUCUUUUUCUCGCUGUCGGAAGUUCCUAUCGCGUGAUGGUCCUCAUGAGUUUUGUCCUUCAUGCCGUGUGCCUUGUUCGGCAGAGACGAGAUGCGAUGUUUGUUCCAAAUUGUCCGACUUGGAGUUUGGGAAUUACUUGACUUUGCUGUCUACUAGGGCCAAGAAGGCAGAGUCAACCCUGGCGGGGUCUUCGGCGCCGUCCAUAGCCGACUCAGUGGCCGAUGCUUUGAAGUUGAUGUUGCCUGCAAUGUUACAAGAGACCUUGGCAGCGAUGUCAGCAGAUCCACAACCUGAGGCGGAGGGGUUACCCUCCCUCUUCUGUGACAGCGGUUCCAAGUACUAAACCGGGAUCUAUGGCUCCACGGAAGUCUCCGGCGGCGGCCAAACAUUCAUCACGGGUGCCUGCAGGAUCCGGUGUACAGGCCGAGAAGGGUACUUCGUCGUCAAAGCAGAUAUCAUCUUCUGAUCACCGGUCUGAUCCAUCCUUGAAGGUGCGGGCGCACGGGUCCAUGGGUCACCGUGCCAGACGUAGUAGAAGUCAUUCACCACGGACUCCAGCGGCUCCAUCGGUUCAUCCAAGGAGGCCGCUGUCGGCUGAUGCGGUCUCUAUGGUUUCCAGGCGGGACUGCCCACGGUCUGGCUCUUCAGUAUCCUCGAGGGACCGUCCACAGUCCGGUACUACAACGGCCCAUGAUCUACCAGACAGACAUGCCUGCUCUCGAGUUCUCCGAGAUUUUCCAGAUGAAGGGUCGGGUCCAUCGGUGGCGGAUUACCCAGAGGCGACUGAUCAAUUGUCCUUGAGGGAUUGCCUAGCAGUUGUAUAUGACUUGCUUCCGUCGCUGCCUCAUCCACUGGCUCCAUCCAAGAAGGGACCAGUGCCGAUGAUUUCUACAGACGUGCUUCCGGAGGAUGUCGUCAUUCGUUCUUUGGCAGCGGGAACCUUGGUGUCAGAUGUGGCCUCGGUCUUGGACAAGACUUUUCUUGAUACAGCAUCUUUCGUGGCUUUUCCACACUGGUCAACUCGAGCUUAUCCAGUGUUUAACAUGCCGUUUCGGGAUACGGCUCCGGUGCUUGAUGAUGAUGUCCAGCAUUUAGGAAAAUCUUCCUCUGUAGAGUUGACAGAUCAGCAAGCCAUGUCUAUGUAUACGGCUCAACGGCGCUGUUUGUACGUUCUAUCGUACUUAGACGUCUUUUUAGCGGCGAUGGCUACCCAAGUGAAGGACUCCAGGUGUUACUCCUUGUUCCAACAGUCAGCCCAGAUGUUGUCAUACUUGACGUCGUCCAUCACAUUCAUGUCAACGAUGAUUACGCACCAUAGACGGCAAGCCUUCUUGAAGAAAUCAACAUUAGAUUCCCAAUGCAAGAAGGAACUGUUAGCGCAGCCAUGGUCUUCCUCUAAAUUAUUUGCGGGCAAGGUAUCUGAUGUCGUCACCGCCAACGAGAAAGAUCAACAAUCUUCGGCAACUGUGAAGGCUUUAUGCUGGAGUCCCAAUAAGCGCAAAAACAGUUUUGUGGCUCAACCUGCCUUCAAGCGCUGGAGAGGUUCCUUUCGGGGAAACUCUUCCUGACGGGUACCAGACAAGAAAUCGUCAGGGCCUCCUGCCAGAGGGAAGCCUUUCCGGCGUUGACACCAACCAGUAGAUUUUGGAUUGCUCCGGCUACCAAGACCUUCGUCUGCCCCACACUUUGACACAGAUCAACGAAUUUCAAUUGACGCUUCCGGUGUCUGUUACACCGGUCGAAAGGACUAUUGCCGGAGGCCGACUACGCCAGUUUUGGAAAACAUGGGAGACUUUGUGCGACGAUCAGUACGUCAUCACAGUCCUGAGAUACGGAUAUUGUCUGUCGACCCUCCCUUAACACGUACGCCCCGAGAGCGUCUGCACUCCGCCGCACAUGUAUGGGUUCUACAAAAUUCCGUCAACAAGCUCUUAGAGAAGGGGGCUGUUUGCAGCAUUCCGCUGUCAGACCUCACGCCAGGAUUUUAUUCCGACAUACUUCUGGUGCCCAAGAAAGACUCGGCGGAUUUACGGAUGAUCCACAACAUGGCUUUUUUCAACAAACAUUAUCUCCAGUCUCCACCAUCGUUCAAGAUGUUGACGGUCAGAGAUGUCGUUGCUGUGGUUCAUCUGGAAGAUUGGCUCGCUUCGCUAGACCUGAAGGACGCUUAUCUUCAUGUACCAAUCUAUGCCACCUGUCAUUGGUACCUGAGAUUUAUACUGCAAGGAAUCCAUUACGAAUGGAUGGUGCUACCCUUUGGGAUAUCAAUUGCUCCAUGGCUGUUUACAAGGAUCACUGCUCCAAUAUCGCGGGUCCUUCACAGCAAGGGUAUUUACUUUUACCCCUACCUGGACGACUGCCUGUUGAAACAUCCCAGUCAAGCUCGGCUCAUCCAUCAUGUCCAGUUUGUCCUGCAGUUCCUACAGUCUCUGGGGUGGAUUGUCAACCACGACAAAUCCCAGUUGCAGCCUACACAAGAUCUGCAAUUCAUCGGUGCACGUCUCCGCUCAGAUCGCGGUCUUGUGCAAGUUCCACUCGACCGUUGGAUGAAAAUCCAGUCCAUCAUCAGGAAGGUGUUUCAAGAAUGGCAGAGUCUGCUGGGGCUGUUGACGUCGGCGCAAGACUUGACUCUCAGACGACGCCUACAGCUACGACGGAUCCAGAUGUUCCUGUAUCCUUACAUUCUUUACCACAACCAAGCCUUGAUGAUUCCAUUGCCGAUUGACCUGCGGUCCAGUCUUCAGUGGUGGCAACGCCAAUCGAACGUCUUAGAAGGCAUCUCUUUGCGGCCGUUUUAAGCGACUCAUCAUCUGUUUGCAGAUGCGUCACUCGAGGGUUGGGGAGCACACCUCAAUGGCCAGACGUCGUCGGGGCAGUGGUCUGCAGAAGAAUCGGUGCUACACAUCAAUCUUCUCGAGAUGUUGGCGGUCUACAUUGCGAUCCUUCACUGGCGUCACCAGUUGAUUGGAGCGUUUCUCAUGGUGGCAACCGACAGCGUGACGGUGGCGGCUUACAUCAAUUGUCAGGGCGGCACACACUCAGACAGUCUUCUCCAGAUGCCUUAUUACCUGUACGAUCUGGUGGAUGAUGUACCUCUGCAGCUGCGAGCAAAACAUAUUCCAGGGGUGUCCAAUGUCCUAGCCGACAGUCUAUCUCGUCCGUCAUCGCCGCAGUCAACCGAGUGGAUGCUACAUCCAGACGCCUUUCGUUGGGUGUGCGAGCGUCUUUGGUCUCCGAACAUCGAUCUGUUCGCCACGAAGUUCAACCAUCAGCUUCAGGUUUAUGUAUCGCCAGUUCCAGAUCCAGAUGCGUUCGAUCUCGAUGCUCUCACCAUCAGCUGGGAUCAGAUGGAUGCAUACGCCUUUCCACCGCCGAUCCUGCUGCCUCGGGUGUUACAGCGGUUUCAACAAUACCGAUGUUGCCUGUUGCUGAUCGCACCCAUGUGGCCAUCAAGGGUGUGGUUUCCAGAUCUAAUCAGUCUCGCUGAUCCACAUCCGUUGCCUCUGCCCGAGUGGGCCAUCUACUGCGGCACCCCACAUCUCGGCUCUACCAUCCAAAUCCACGCUUGUUCCGGCUACACGCGUGGACCGUAUUGCCAGAGGUCUGAAGAAGAAGGGGUUUUCUUCAUAGUCUACUGCAGCAAUUUUGAAGGCUCAUCGAUCAUCUACUACAGCGGUCUAUAAUGUCUGAUGGCUGUGUUUUUAUAGAUGGUGUCUGCGACAACACAUUAAGCCUCAGAAAAUUCCAGUCCAUCAUUUGGCAGACUUUCUGAUGUACCUUCGGACGUCACUGAAGUUGAAAGGCUCGACGAUUGCGGGUUACGUCUCGGUCAUUGCUACUGUUCGUAAUCCGGCUACUGGAACGAAGCUCUCCAUCAUCCCUGAAAUUAAUAAGAUGGUUAAGAGCUUUAAAUUGGAGGAUCUAGUUCGUCGCUUUCAUCCUCCGAAGUGGGACCUGACUCUGGUUUUGAGGUCCUUGGUGGUUGCACCAUAUGAGCCGAUUGAAGAGUCCUCAUUAGAACUUUUAACUCGGAAAACAGUUUUUCUGUUGGGGUUUGCAACGGCUGCUCGAGUCUCGGAAAUUCAUGCCUUGGAUGUCGACCGUGUUAGAUUUCAUCGUGAUUGUUACUCGGUUUCCUUGGGGCUUCUAAUGAACUUUGUGGCUAAAAAUCAGUUACCUGAUCAACAGCCAUGAACGUAUGUGGUUCAUGCAUUAUCAUUUAUACUGGGUCCGGCCGAUACUGAAGACUUGACUUUGUGUCCGGUUCGUGCUUUGUACCACUAUAUUGAAAGGACUCGCUCGUUUCGACAACACCAGUCGAGAUGGUUCCUUUCGUGUCACCAGUCUCAUUUAAAAGACAUUACUAAGAACACUGUGGCUACGUGGAUUAGAUUGACUAUUCUGUUUGCAUACCAGAAGGAAGGUUUACCUGCUUCCACUGCCUCCAAUCCACAUGAACUGCGUGCACUGACCGCCACCAUGUCUUUGCACUGCAACACUCCUAUCCAGCACAUUAUUACUGGCUGUUACUGGGCGACGGACUCCAUAUUAGCGAAUUAUUAUCUGAGGGACGUCUCCACUGAGGAUGUCGAGGGCUUCCAUCAUCUGGGUCCUGUGGUGGCUGCGCAGACACUGGUGAACACUAGCCGUCCUCAUUGCUGUUGAGGUUUGCUGUUGGAUUCUAGACUGCACACAGAGAUGUCUACUGAAUCCACAGUUGCUUGUCCUGUGUGUGGGGUACCAGUCAAAGAGUGCUAUGUCAAUCUACACCUUGACAGGUGUCUACGAAACGAGUGCCAGCAGAAAGUAACUAAACGGAAACCUUUAACCAAGGUUGUUUACAAUCUUAUGUCGGAUAAAGAGCUUAAGAAGAAAUUGAAAGAGCUUGGUCUUUCUGUACAAGGAGACCGACAGUAUCUGUCUUGAUACAAGAGUUUGAGAAAAUGGAAAAUAU